UACAGGGGGGGCAAGCGUUGUUCGGAAUUACUGGGCGUAAAGGGCUCGUAGGCGGCCAACUAAGUCACACGUGAAAUCCCCAGGCUUAACCUGGGAACUGCGUGUGAUACUGGAUGGCUUGAAUCCGGGAGAGGGAUGCGGAAUUCCAGGUGUAGCGGUGAAAUGCGUAGAUAUCUGGAGGAACACCGGUGGCGAAGGCGGUUCUCUGGGUAUGUCCUGACGCUGAGGAGCGAAAGUGUGGGGAGCGAACAGG
Molecule: ribosomal RNA, 253 nt
Filed under: uncultured bacterium
Lineage: Bacteria
Description: partial 16S ribosomal RNA
Rfam family: Bacterial small subunit ribosomal RNA
Source: RNAcentral